This 497-nucleotide ribosomal RNA is filed under the name uncultured bacterium. RNAcentral's name for it is "partial 16S ribosomal RNA". It matches the Rfam family "Bacterial small subunit ribosomal RNA", at positions 28 to 507 of the family's 1533-position model. The record is from RNAcentral.
GAUGAACGCUGGCGGCGUGCCUAACACAUGCAAGUCGAGCGACCGCACGAUAAGCUCUCGCCCCUGCUGUUAGCGGCGGACGGGCGAGUAACACGUGGAUCACCUUCUUCUAUGACUGGGAUAACUUCGUGAGACCGGUGCCACUACUGGAUGAUAUUUUGUACGGCAUGGUUCAAAAGUGAAAGACGCUCUUGCUGUCUCAUUUAGCUGGAUCCGCGCUGCAUUAGCUAGUUGGUAAGGUAACGGCUUACCAAGGCAACGAUGCGUAGCCGACCUGAGAGGAUGAUCGGCCACACUGGAACUGAGACACGGUCCAGACUCCUACGGGAGGCAGCAGUGGGGAAUCUUCGGCAAUGGGCGAAAGCCUGACGGAGCAACGCCGCGUGAGUGAUGAAGGUCUUCGGGUCGUAAAGCUCUGUUAUUGGGGAAGAAAAGAUGUAGGAGAAUCUGUGCACGUCUUGACGGUACCUAAACAAAAAGCAACGGCUAACUACGUG